GACGAACGCUGGCGGCGUGCUUAACACAUGCAAGUCGAACGGAAAGGCCCUGCUUUUGUUGGGUUCUCGAGUGGCGAACGGGUGAGUAACACGUGAGUAACCUGCCCUUGACUUUGGGAUAACUUCAGGAAACUGGGGCUAAUACCGGAUAUGAGCUCCUGCUGCAUGGUGUGGGUUGGAAAGUUUCGGCGGUUGGGGAUGGACUCGCGGCUUAUCAGCUUGUUGGUGGGGUAGUGGCUUACCAAGGCUUUGACGGGUAGCCGGCAUGAGAGGGUUACCGGCCACAUUGGGACUGAGAUACGGCCCAGAAUCCUACGGGAGGCAGCAGUGGGGAAUAUUGCACAAUGGGCGGAAGCCUGAUGCAGCAACGCCGCGUGCGGGAUGACGGCCUUCGGGUUGUAAACCGCUUUCGACUGUGACGAAGCGUGAGUGACGGUAAUGGGUAAAGAAGCAACGGCUAACUACGUG
This 468-nucleotide ribosomal RNA is filed under the name uncultured bacterium. RNAcentral's name for it is "partial 16S ribosomal RNA". It matches the Rfam family "Bacterial small subunit ribosomal RNA", at positions 28 to 507 of the family's 1533-position model. The record is from RNAcentral.